Molecule: long non-coding RNA, 1929 nt
Filed under: Bactrocera tryoni
Lineage: Eukaryota; Metazoa; Arthropoda; Insecta; Diptera; Tephritidae
Description: uncharacterized LOC120779465, transcript variant X1
Source: RNAcentral
AUAAAUGAAAUGUCAUGAAAUUUUCACUGGGUAAUCAACUAACGCAUCAGUCGACAUACAGAUGGCGUCACUAGGGGGCGCUAGCUUCAAAAAGUCAUGUUUACUUUGCAUUGCACCUUGUAUAAAUAUUUUAAGUAAGAUAAAUAUGUGAAUAUAGUUUUACUUUUGAAAUGCGUAAGCUCCGCGUUACUAGUUUUAGUAAUCCAUUGUUUCUCAAUCCUCAUUGAUUGUGGAAGGAAACAUUUCUGAUGCCAUCAACACUGCUUCUUCUGCAGAUAUUUCUUUCACUCCUCCUUCAUUGAGUUUAAAUAUUAUUCCAGUCAGCGCCACCACCCAUGAAAGCGGGGAAAAGACACUUCCUUGAGGAGUGUCUCUGCUUAUGUAGCUUACUCAUUUCGAUGAGCCAUUUGUUGCUAUUAUCGUUUUGUUCCUAAGCGUCGACACAUGAGCAUCUGUGAACUGUAACUACCCGCUUUUGAUAGAAACACCACUUUGAUUCUUUUUCAGCUUGUCAGUAUGUAAAAUAGUUCGAUGUUAGCCUUACAAGUAUAUACAUAUGUAUUAUUGCCUUGGAAGCAUUAGUUUCUUUAACCUUUGCAUCAUUAUGGGAAAAAUCCCAACUAAAUACUCGUAUAUGGCAUAAAUGGCAUGAAACUGUUUAUUGCGAAUGAGUUGUCUAUAAAGUUUUUUUCUUACUUACUAUGAAUCCGAAUUGGUCACCUAUUUUCGCAAGUAGUUGUGGUUGCAUAUCUACUGCGGCUUUCUGACAGCCAGAAAAGUGCGUUUUUAUGAGUUAAUCUAAGGAUUCACCUGAAAAGGAUCUCCAAGAAGGAGCCAUCGCAUUUUGAGAAGCGAUUGGUUGAGUAAGGUGAAAAUAUUGUCUAACAUUUUCACCUUUUUAUGUUAUUCUUGAAAAUUGAUCACCUUAUUCUUAUAUUUACUAUUUUCUAAUCAUUUUGUAGCUAUCUUGGUAAAUUUAUCCCAAACUGUUGUUCCAGAGUUUUCGCGGACAAUGUUCAGUUAACGACGAGGCUAUUCGAUUAGGUUGAUCGCGUAAGCUCAUAGACUUUCUCACAGCCCGAAAAGUUUAAAGAGCUUGGAAAAAUAAAUGUUGGCUCCUACUGCUCCUAUCUCACAUAAAUAAAUUGCUAUUUAGAAUAUAUUAGGGGGAUUGCUCUUGCAAAACCCUUGCACGGUGCACGUAUUGCACGGAUUUCAGAGUUAUCCGACUCAACAACAAAACACACGCUGAAAAUAUUUCCAAUUGCUGUAUAAUAUGUCGGAUCAAACCCCAUCUUCACUUUUGUGCAAUGACACGUAAAAAAAUAAUUGCAACCUUGUACCAGCUGUCAUUUUACAUAGGGACAUAUUUCGCCAAUAAUUUGUUGAGAGACUUUUUUUAAGAAUAAAUACAGAAGGUGCGGGGAGCGAAGAUGAAAAGGCAAUGACUGGCUCGCUACAAUUGGCGCAGGACUCCAAGAGGAGGCUGAUGGUAGAACCAUUGAAGCAAAAAUAGCUAAAAUGUGUCCCUACUACGCCCAGCUGAGGGAAAUACUUAUGUGGAAAGCGUGUACCGGGCAUGCAACAGUUACUGUUUGCCUUCGCCUCAGCUGUGUGCAGCGAGUUCUGCUCCAAAAUUCGAUAUCAAAUUUUUAGAAGCGGAAAAUGCACUUGCUGCGCCUUCUAUCGCACCAAUGUGCACGCCAUGUCAACUGGGCAACCGAAAUCUUCCAUUGAACAAUUGGAGGCUAUCCAAGCGGCGAAAAUUGCCAUGGAAGAGAAGUAAUUUGAAUUUGAAAAAUAUUAGUUUGAAAAACAAAUUAAAAUUCAAGAAAAAAAGGAUAUAGAAUUAAAGAUAUUAGAAAUAGAUGAAAAAUAUAUAUUGUUAGAUUUAGAAAUGAAAGCAAGAGUGGUUAAGUACGAAAUUGA